GGAUGUGGUAUAGGAAUGAUGGACUUCCUCUCGGUGUCUCUUGACAAGGCUUUCCUCAUAUCUGCAGAAAAGGACAAAGAUACUUGUCUUGGCUGUGCAGGGCUUAGUGGAUUUCACUAACUCUUUGGUGGUGAGGUUGAUGAUAUGGACCAGGACCAGGAGCCUCGGGAACGCAGGGACUUCCCCGAGACAUGACUGUGGCUAGACAGCAACACAGGAGAUUCUGCCACGGCUGAGUUCCCUCUAACUGUUCCAGACUGCAUCACUUCCUGUGUAGCCACUGCCUUCAUCAUGUCUGCUGACCUGGGCAUGGGCAUCACUGAGAUCCCUGCUGAGGUCAUCACACACACACGCAUCUGCAUCAUUGGCACCCUGUAAAGUCACUGUUUCUACUCUACUCUAUGUACUCUUUUUUGUGUUUUCAGCUCAACAUGUUCCAGGACAUCUUCCUGUCCUUGAAUCUACCUGUGUUCAUAAUCCGAGGCAAGCUGCUGCUUGUGGAGGUCACCUUCUUCAACUACCUGGAAGAGGAGCUUGAGGUUGCUGCCUUCACUGUAGUCAAUGUCGCUCUCAGAUGUCUGUCUGGCAUAGCCACUUUGAUAUUAUUUACUGUAACAUAUUCACAAAUGUUAUCCUCCUGUAGUGGAGAAGCAUUCAGAACUAGAAUGAACCCUUUUUGGUCAGUUUGUAUUAUCUUUAUAAUGAUCACCGGCACUAAACACCUCUUGGGUCGUGCUAGAGGUAUCUAAGCAUUGAGCCCAUUAAUCCAACAUGGAUUUAUCCCAGCACUAUCACCACUAUGUGGAGCAGGACACGAGACAGUCAUUUUAUCAUAGUUCUAAUCUGUAAUAUUGUUGCGACACGUCAUGUUGUUUUUAUCAUAUGGGGUAAAGAACAAUUACAUUUGUCUGUCCAUACAUUCCAUGUAUUUUAAUCUGGGUGACUUCCCUCUCGUCUCUUUAUUUUUCUCCUUGCUUUUUCUUAUGUUCUGCUCGGUCAUGGUGAUAUUUGCUCAGAUUCACUCAUUUAAGUUUGUCUUACCGGACAAUG
Oncorhynchus keta (chum salmon) is the source of this 1050-nucleotide long non-coding RNA. RefSeq lists it as uncharacterized. The record is from RefSeq and is a predicted model, not a curated record. The transcript is spliced from 3 exons. NCBI's taxonomy places the organism in Eukaryota, Metazoa, Chordata, Actinopteri, Salmoniformes, Salmonidae.